This 297-nucleotide long non-coding RNA is filed under the name Medicago truncatula (barrel medic). RNAcentral's name for it is "long non-coding RNA (MTRU_LNC007350)". The record is from RNAcentral. Lineage: Eukaryota; Viridiplantae; Streptophyta; Magnoliopsida; Fabales; Fabaceae.
AAAUUAUCUCUCUUGACAAGAAUAAUAAAGUCAUUGUGGAAUAAAAGAACCAAAUUAAUUUUGGGUUCAAAGUUUUAUUUUCGUAGGUCAUGAUAUGUCUGUCUUGUUUUGGCUAUAUCUGGAGCUCUGAUACCAAAUGAUGAGUGCCACGAAGCCGUCGGAAGCAAAUUAAGAAUAAUGUUGAUGGAAAUGGUGAAAAGACUAAAAAUGAAGAAAUGGAAUGGAUAGACAGGGACGCCACACUUUCUAAUCCAAGAAAGUGAUAAGUCUAUGGAUGCGAGGAUCGCCACAAGAAAU